This 323-nucleotide unclassified non-coding RNA is filed under the name Hevea brasiliensis (rubber tree). Lineage: Eukaryota; Viridiplantae; Streptophyta; Magnoliopsida; Malpighiales; Euphorbiaceae. The record is from RNAcentral.
AAAUAUCUCUCUCAACUGUUACUUUUUCGGCAUGCCCUCAUCUCAGACCAUAUUAUUUGUCGAAUUGUAGCAGUUUUUGCGAUUCAAUCUCAGGGGAUGGAUCGAGCCAGCGCCGAGGUGGAGGCUCCACUGCUUUCGAAUCACAACUCUCGAACGAGGGAGAACCGGUGGGUGAUAUGGAGGGCAGUGUUCAAUGUGUCCACUACUAUUAUUGGUGCAGGAAUUAUGUCAAUCCCAGCUACUUUAAAGGUCCUAGGUGUUGUUCCCGCAUUCGUCUUGAUUGUUCUGGUAGCUUUGUUAGUAGACAUAACGGUAAAUUUCAU